Molecule: non-coding RNA, 589 nt
Organism: Phoenix dactylifera (date palm)
Lineage: Eukaryota; Viridiplantae; Streptophyta; Magnoliopsida; Arecales; Arecaceae
Source: RefSeq, a predicted model, not a curated record
UGGGGGGGGGGGCUCUCCCUUGCGGCAUCUGAUUGAGUUUACUGUACUCUGCCAGUGCCGCCGAGGGAUCGGGAGCGCAGCACCUCGCCGGAGUGAGGUAAGGACUUCCGGCACCUACUCACUCCCUCCUCUGCCUUCCCCUCCUUUAGAUCUACCGGCAAUGGCCGGAUCCGGCAAAGGGCCGGGAUGUAGGAAGAGCACAGAAAAAGAGGAAGAAGAGGGUAGGACCCUGCGGCCGCCGCAGGCCCCCGGCCGCGGUCACCACAGAUCUGGCACGAGGGCGCAGGAAGAAGAAGAAAACAAGGUUGCCCUCCACACAUUUACAUCAGCUUCACGUGUGCUUGCCCUCCUCUAGAUCUCUGGAUUUCGCCCCAUUUCUUCAGCACAUCCCCUUCGUGCAUAUAUUGUGGAGCUACUUUGCAGAGAAGGGCGCAAGAUGCAUAGUUUUGGAUGGGUUGGGCAUAAAGUCCGAGCAUUAGAGUUUUAAGUUAGUUAGUUAGUUUAUUUUUUAAUACCGAGAAACAUUUGAAGAUUUUGUAACUGUACCAGUUGGAUUAUUUGAAUAUGAUGGAUUUAUGUUUUUGGAUUA